This 2400-nucleotide long non-coding RNA is filed under the name Dromaius novaehollandiae (emu). Its description in RNAcentral is "lncRNA (ENSDNVG00000010275.1)". The record is from RNAcentral. Lineage: Eukaryota; Metazoa; Chordata; Aves; Casuariiformes; Dromaiidae.
AGGCAAAGGGAUGGCCCAAGGGAGGAGAUGGCCCAGGGGAUGUUAUCCAGGGAAAGAGGUUUUCCAGGGCAGGAAAAGUGCUGCCCCUGUCGGUGCCACGAGCACGUGUGGGGUCCCCCUGCCACCGCAGCGCAGCCUGGGGCCAGAGGCUUUGGGAGGCCAGGCCACAUGGCAGACGGGGAGCUGGAAGAGGCUGCCUGCGAUGGCCAGAGCAAGCGACUCGUGACGUGCAACCUGGACACAGAGAAGCAGCCUGGGCUUGUGGGAUCCUGGACAAAGGAGCACUGUGACCASGUGUUGGACUCCAUUGAUGCCCAGCUCAGCCAGUGGCAGGGCCAUGGUGUGCAAGUCAUGGGCAGCAGCAAAGACCAUGACAUCUCUUCUGACACUUCCCUCAAUGUCUCUUYGCUGGCUGAACCGGAAGAACACCCUACGGCCAAGGCUGAAUACCUCCAGGGUGAAGCCAGUCAAAGCAGCUCCAGCUCUGUCUGCACGGAGGACUUUGCUGCCAGGUUUCAGGAGGGUAUGGUUGAGCCUCUGGUGUUCUCCGAGGAUGAGGAAGACGAGCCCUUCUCAGUGGGGAGCAGGCAUGCCAGGGAUGUCCCAGCAGAAGGCAAUGGCAUCUCUUGCCCUGCUGAGGAUCAUGAUGCUGGGCAGGAUGAGUCCUUGCUCUCUACAGGGAGAAGACAGGAUGUCCCAUGGCAGUCGGAGGUGGAGCUGGGCUGUCCAUUGCAGAGCACAUCUCCAUCUCUGACGAGAAGGCAAAGCCUGGAGUCUCUGGGAGGGAGGAUAUCCAGACUGAGCCAGAGCAAUGCUGUGACUGCAGGGAUGGAGCCAGACAGCUUCCCAGCGUGGUGGGCUCCCAUGCCAGCCCCCUCUGAGCAGGGAUGGACUCUGCAUGGAGCUAAUGUGAGAGAGUGUUCAACAAGGAGACGUGCAGGAGUCCCUGUGCCUCGAGCCUCGGUCUCUGCAGACAGCAGUUUGCCAGGGGAUGGUGGUGCUGGGACCAGAUGGCAUCACAUGAGCAGGCCUGUGGGGUCAAGACAGCAGGAGCCACCAGCUCUCCGGAGACAGUCUGAAGGGGACAUUGCCCUUGCUGUGGCUGACAUGGACAUGGAAGAAGCUGGUGACAAGCUGAGGAGAGCUCAGUCCUGGGCCCAUUGUACCAAUACAGCAGCAAGACUCCCCAGGGUGUGCAGCGACGACUCCUUUGGGGACCGGGGCCCCAUGGACACCUACAAAGAGCCAUCGUCCUGUGGGGGCAGCCGCUGGAGGAGCAGCAGUGCGGAGAGGUGGACCUGGAGCCCAGGCAAAGUGGCCAAGCCCUGGUGGGAACAUGGGAGGCUGAAAGCCAGCCUAGACCAGAAGCACACAGGCAAGGAGCCAGCGUCACUGUGUUGGUCUCUGCAGAGGAACUGGAAGGGGGUUCAAGAGCUGGGGUCCUGUGCAAAGAAGAUGCAGAGCAAAGGAGACAAAGCCAGGACUGGCCCAGCACUCCUGGAACACACAGAUGAUGCCUGCUGGCAGGAGCUGAUGGAGCUGGAGAAGGAGAGACUCCAUGAGCUGGAGCAUCGUACCCGCUCCCUCCUGCAGCAGCGGCAGGAAGCCCUGGAUGAGCUGCACAUGUUGCUGCAGAAGGAGAAGAUGGACAUGCUUCGGCAGCUCCAGGAAGCCCUGGAGCAGGAACGGGCUCGCUACAGCACCUGGCUGCGAGUGCGUCUGCAGCGUCUGGAGCAGCAGCACCUUCUGUGGGCUCCACAUAGGGAAACUUCCUUGCAGAAGCCAGUGGUGCCAGGCCAGGCUGGGCGCUCCCUGGCAAGGCCUAUCAGCUUGGCAUGCCAGCRCCUCCAUGACUUUCUUCCUGACAACUCCAUGGGGCAGAACCCUUCAGCAGCAGUGUGUGGCUCAUCUCCACUCUCCCCCAGCCACGCGCUUGGAGUCCUGCAUGGCCUCAGUGAGGAAAUACAGCAUCACCUCAGAGACAUGCAGAGGGAGAGGGAGGCCGGGAGGUGCUCUGUCCUCCACCUUCAGAGAGAGAAGGAGCAUGAGCUGAGGCAGCAGCGAGAGUGGAUUCACAUGGAGAAGGAGGCAGGUCCAAGAGUCCUGAAGGAGCAGCUGAUCCAGAGACAAAGCAAAUAUCCACACUUCUGCUCCACUUCUUCCCUGUCCUCGAGCACCAUGCCUUGCCUCCGACAGCAAAACUUCAGGCGCUUGAAGGUCCUGCACCAAAUCCAGAACUAUGUGCAAGAGCUGCAGGCAGAGAACACCACCCACCGCACGGGCAACCUGGAGAACCUGACUGUCCUGAGAGGAGAGCUGGGCACCACAGCAAGGGAAAAGAGGCUCCUGAUGCCGGAUCUCAUCGUUCCCCCAUGCGCUGGUGUCAGCAGCAGGAACUAA